CCUACGGGUGGCUGCAGUGGGGGAUAUUGCACAAUGGGGGAAACCCUGAUGCCGCGACGCCGCGUGAGUGAUGAAGUAUUUCGGUUUGUAAAGCUCUAUCAGCAGGGAAGAAAAUUACAGUACCUGACCAAGAAGCCCCGGCUAAUUCCGUUCCAGCAGCCGCGGUAAUACGUAGUGGCCAAGCGUUAUCCGGAUUUACUGGGUGUAAAGGGAGCGUAGACGGUUAUGUAAGUCUGGAGUGAAAGCCCGGGGCCCAACCCCGGGACUGCUUUGGAAACUGUGUAACUGGAGUACAGGAGAGGAAGGCGGAAUUCCAGGUGUAGCGGUGAAAUGCGUAGAUAUCAGGAGGAACAUCGGUGGCGAAGGCGGCCUGCUGGACUGAAACUGACGCUGAGGCUCGAAAGCGUGGGGAGCAAACAGGAUUAGAUACCCUUGUAGUC
This 440-nucleotide ribosomal RNA is filed under the name uncultured bacterium. Its description in RNAcentral is "partial 16S ribosomal RNA". It matches the Rfam family "Bacterial small subunit ribosomal RNA", at positions 338 to 795 of the family's 1533-position model. The record is from RNAcentral.